Long non-coding RNA from Ictalurus punctatus (channel catfish), 705 nucleotides. Lineage: Eukaryota; Metazoa; Chordata; Actinopteri; Siluriformes; Ictaluridae. The record is from Ensembl.
GGAGCAGAAAAAGUGGCUGUGGACAAGUCCAAAACAUGUUUCUAUCAUUAAAUAAGGCAGGGAGGGACCACAUCCAUAUGGAUUUUCAGUUGCAUAAUUUUUGAUUGAUGUGAAGGCUUUUUUGAAAGAUGGAUACUGCAAAGGCACUGUCUAUUCAUCAUCAUUACUCAGGCACACUCCGAUGUGGUUUCUCCGUACCUCCCACUGGUCACAACUUAAAGCUGAGUAUAUUUACUGACUUACUCUACAUCACGGGCCGUUCUCCUCAUGAACACACUCUGUUCUGUAGUAAAAUCACUUUAAAUAUUCUAUGAGCAUUUAUUUAUCUAUUUUUUUAUAUAUGUAUGUAUGUAUGUAUGUAUGUAUGUAUGUAUGUAUUUAUUUAUUUAUUUAUUUAUUACACUGUGAUACUCAGGAUGGAAAUCAGUAGAGUUUGGGUAUAGCUUAUAUUUCAAUAUUACAAUUCAAUAAAAUUCAAUUCAAUGACAUAUAAACAAGCCUUUUACAAGAUUAAGAAUGAGAAAUAUUAUUAGAAAUAUCUUAAUGAAAUGUUACUAGCAAUUGUAAUAGUCCUUCAGGGUUUUGCAGGGUUUUUUUUUUCCUUUCUAUUUUCAUUUAUAAAUUGAACGAUUGCUCAUAGUUACACUUAAAACAUGAAGAAAAAACAAGUGAAAAACAGAAAAUGAAAAAUUAUUUAUAAAAAUG